This is a long non-coding RNA of Pezoporus occidentalis (night parrot), 192 nucleotides long. RefSeq lists it as uncharacterized. NCBI's taxonomy places the organism in Eukaryota, Metazoa, Chordata, Aves, Psittaciformes, Psittacidae. The record is from RefSeq and is a predicted model, not a curated record. The transcript is spliced from 2 exons.
CAGGAAAUCUGCAGUUGUUUGCUCCCCCAAAACCCUGUCUGCAGCUGCGGGAGAACCGUGGUGGUAGUGGCUAAGCUGAAGUGUGUCUUCAUUGCUCCCUGAGUGCACAUGUAUUUCAGAUCACUGCUGAUUUAUCUCCUGAACGGGGGAGCGUUUCACACUUCUGAAAUGAAAGCACUCUACAAACUCUUA